UGUGGAAAGCCUGCGACCGGAAGUUGCGACUUUUAUCACGACCACUACUAACUGGACAUUUCUGUUCAACAUGUCUCCUUCGCAGACUCAUCCCUGCCAUUAGAAGGACCGUCCGUGGAAAAAAAACUCCUGCGUGUUCAGGUUAGCAACACAGCUAGCGGGCCGUUGUCAGCCAGGACCCAGAAAAGCAGCAGCAUCAUCAUCAAUGGUGUGUCUACAUCCCGGAGCCGUCACAUUUUCCUGUGUCCGCUCAAUGAACAAUCUCCUCAGCUCUCAUCACAGCUGCACAUGUAUGGCGUUUGCGAGGCUUGGAGGGGAGUUUUGCCAAGCCCAGCACCUUCUGCUUAUUGUGGACAAGUGAACAGGAGACACCAGCUAGGCACAAACACUGCCAUUCACGGACGUAGGUCCUCACUGCCAUCCUGUUCAACCCAUAUGAAGACAAGCCAACCUUCAGCCUAUCACCUGUCCCGGGGAGUAGGGGAGGCUCCGGUUUUAUCUCGGGAGUUUCCUCACAGCUCUUCUCCUCUCCUGCUCAUCCUUUCUCCUUCUUCUUCUUCUUCUACUACUACUCUGAUUCAUACAAGUCUUCUUUGAAUGGGCUAAUAGAUUUGAAAGAAAGCAAGGACAGAUCUUUUAUCUGUCUCUAGUCUUCUUUUGUUUUGUUUUUUCUGCUCCACUUUCUUCACUCUAGUCUUUUCGAUCCCACCGUGCUAGGUUUUAACCAAGCCAAUUUGAGUUUGCCAAGAGAUUUUUUUGAGUUCUUGCCCAAGAAAUUUGUCUUGUCUUUUUUUUUUUUUU
Larimichthys crocea (large yellow croaker) is the source of this 801-nucleotide long non-coding RNA. RefSeq lists it as uncharacterized. The record is from RefSeq and is a predicted model, not a curated record. NCBI's taxonomy places the organism in Eukaryota, Metazoa, Chordata, Actinopteri, Sciaenidae. The transcript has 4 exons.